AUUGAACGCUGGCGGCAUGCCUUACACAUGCAAGUCGAACGGUAACAGGUCUUCGGAUGCUGACGAGUGGCGAACGGGUGAGUAAUACAUCGGAACGUGCCUAGUAGUGGGGGAUAACUACUCGAAAGAGUGGCUAAUACCGCAUGAGAUCUACGGAUGACAGCAGGGGAUCGCAAGACCUUGUGCUACUAGAGCGGCCGAUGGCAGAUUAGGUAGUUGGUGGGAUAAAAGCUUACCAAGCCGACGAUCUGUAGCUGGUCUGAGAGGACGAUCAGCCACACUGGGACUGAGACACGGCCCAGACUCCUACGGGAGGCAGCAGUGGGGAAUUUUGGACAAUGGGCGCAAGCCUGAUCCAGCAAUGCCGCGUGCAGGAUGAAGGCCUUCGGGUUGUAAACUGCUUUUGUACGGAACGAAAAGCCCUGGGUUAAUACCCUGGGGUCAUGACGGUACCGUAAGAAUAAGCACCGGCUAACUACGUG
This 482-nucleotide ribosomal RNA is filed under the name uncultured bacterium. RNAcentral describes it as "partial 16S ribosomal RNA". It matches the Rfam family "Bacterial small subunit ribosomal RNA", at positions 30 to 507 of the family's 1533-position model. The record is from RNAcentral.